This is a long non-coding RNA of Rosa rugosa (rugosa rose), 5856 nucleotides long. RefSeq lists it as uncharacterized. The record is from RefSeq and is a predicted model, not a curated record. Lineage: Eukaryota; Viridiplantae; Streptophyta; Magnoliopsida; Rosales; Rosaceae. The transcript is spliced from 3 exons.
GAGCAUUUUAAUGUGGUAUUUUAAUAGUUAAUUCCUCACAUUUUGCUUAGUUAAUUCCUUAACGAAUCGAUUUUUAACUCAAUUUCUAUUUUCUUAGGUACAUUGGAGUAAAUGAUGGUGAAAUGAGCAUUAGGUCCACACUUACCUAUAAAUGGUGGAGAAAAAUGGAAAUGUACUAAAAUGUCAAUUUUACACAUUUUCCUACUCCGGCUAGGAGAAACCAAGCCAAGCAAGGAAGAAGGAGCGGCCGCCUGACCAAAUGAACUCCAAAUGAGCUGAAACUUUCCAGAUCCAUUCUAGACAUCCUAAGGAUCGUUUCUUAUGAAGAGUGCCAGAGCUAGAAUUGAGUGGAAGGCCUUCAAACAAUCAGCCCAAUUUCCCGCAGAAGCAAAACUGGAAAACUGGACCCGUAAGGAGUCCAGCAGCAUUUUCGGCCCAACCACAUGGAAUAAAAAUCUGAAAUUUUACCAGGGUGAUCUACACUCAUAAUGGAACAUUUUUUAUGAAGAGGUCAUAGUGAAAUUGGGAAUGCUUGUUGGAGAAAUAAUUGAAGGAAUAAAGGGGCAGAAACUGAUCUAAAAACAGCUCAACACCACAUGUUCAAGUUUCCUACCCACAUGAAGAAAGCUAGAUGCUUUUCUCUUUUUCCUUGGAUAUAUUUUUCUGCUCCAAUAGAUCAUCAUCACUUCCAUACUUCUACACCUUCAUGCCUUGCUUUCAUUUCAUCAUUACUCCAUCUUUUCCAUAUUUUACAAACCACUUUCAUUAUUUUUCUUCCAUUUAUCAUUUCACUCUUCUUUUUCUUCCCUAUAUAAACACCUUCUCCUCUCACUCUAAAAAUUCCUUCAUCCAUUUCAUCUUCUUUGUCUCUCCAUUUCCAUUCCAUUUUUCUCUCCAUUCUCUAGUUGCAAAAUUCUGCGUUUUCAAGUAAGAAGAAGAAGAAGAAGAAGAAGCCGGGAAUAUCAUAUCCUCCAUCGUCCACCUUGAAGGCUUGCUUCCAAGAUUCAAGAUUUCAACGUUUCAAGCACUCCAUCUCCAUCUCCAACUCACGGUGUGUACCCUCAAUCCCCGGAAUAGAACGAUCCCUAUUUGCUUAUACUACUAACGAUGUUUUCAGGGUUAAAUUAUGCGCUUGCUUUGAGCGUAUCAAUUUUUGGCGCCGUUGCCGGGGAUUGAAAAAUCAAUUGUUUUUGUUUUUAAUUAGCGUAUAAAUUUUUGGCGCCGUUGCCGGGGAUUGAAAAAUCACUUGUUUUGUUUAUAAUUGUUGUAUAUAAACUGUUUGAUACUUAGUUUAAAUUAACUAGGUUGUUUUUUUUUUUUUUUUUUUUAUUGUUGAAUACGAGUUUAAUUGUGAGUUGUAAAUUAAAGAAGGAAUAGGUGAAGUCGUGUUUAUUAAUAUUGGCCUAAACCCCUUAUUGGUACCUAGUUCAGGUCCCUUAAGGUUGAGGGCGGCCUUUAUUAACAUUCAUUGAACUGUCUAACACACUUAGGACCUUUUACAUCCUAGUAAGAAUAUCCUAUGUGAGAUGGUGUCUAGGAAGGGGAUAACGUUCAUGACGGGUUUUUGAAUCCAGAAGUGCUUAUAAAUGGGCUUAGCUCAUGCCAAAAUGGAUUUUUCCUCUCGUGUUCACCCUCCCCUACCUGGCCAUUUCAGUAAGGUUGCCCAACGGAUGUAGGAGGGACUUUGUGUCUAGACGACUAUACUUGGGCCGCACGUCCACUUGAUUUACCGCUUGGAAUUAGAUUUGAUAUCAAUAAUGUUUAUAACAAAAGAAAUACUUGUGCAUACUCUUUACGUGUAAAUUAUUUUGUUGUUUCACACUUUAUACUUGUAAAAAUACUUUUUACGUUUUAUACUCACUUGUGUACUUAACUUGUGUCUUAUGUACAAAAUACUUGUUAAUUAUACUUGUAGUUUGUAAUUCAUAGUUACUUGUUUAUUUUUUUUGUAUUUCUUUGUUAAUAUUAAGUUACUAACUUUAUUUAAUGUAGGUACCGUCUGGCUGCAAGACGUAAAAUACAAGCGCUGCUUGGGAGGCAACCCAAUUCAGAAUAUAAUCAGAUUUGCUUUCUCUUCCCCUUUUACUCCUCCAUUUUCUUUUUGUUUUAGUAGUUAUUUUCGUAAAUUCCAUCCCUAUAUGCUUACUUAUUUCAUUGCAUGCUUUUAAUUGAUUACAUUGAGGAUAAUGCAAUAUUUAAGUGUGGGGGAAGGGAUUUAUAUUUUUGUCUUUCAUUUUUGAAUCCUAUAAAUAUUUUUGUCUUUCAUUUUGAGUCCUAUAAAUAUUUUUGAGUCCUUUAUUUUAAAAAAAAAAAUAAUAAUAAUAAAAAAUAAAAAUAAAAUAAAAAUAAAAUAAAAAUAAAAUAAAAUGCAUUCAUUCAGUCUUAUUAAAUUCAGCUUUUUUACAAAAAAAAAAAAAAUAAAUAAAAAAAAAUAAUAAAAAAAAAAUAAAAAAAAAUAAAAAAAUAUCUCCCAAAUUGUAUAUUUUGUAUUUCUUAGUUAAUUAUAGUUACUAACUUUCUAAUUUCUAUUCUGUCUGGCUGAAAGACGUUAAACUCAAGCGCUGCUUGGGAGGCAACCCAAUUCAGAAGUAGCUGUGAAGGAGUCUACCUACACAGAUUUGCUUUCUCUUUCCCUAUCUCUUUUUAUUUUUUAAUUUUUUAUCUUUUGUUUUUAUUUUAGGAUUUAUUUUCAUAAAUGUCUUCUAUCUAUGCUUAUUUGUUUCAUUGCAUGCUUAUGAUUGAUUACAUUGAGGACAAUGCAAUAUUUAAGUGUGGGGGAAGGGAUUUAUAUUUGAGUCUUUUAUUUUGAGUCAUAUAUAUUGGAAAAUACAAAAAAAUCGAAAAAUGUCAAAAAUUAAAAAAAUUUCGUUGAUUUUAUUUAUUGAGUCUUAGUCCUUUGUUUUUAUUUUUGAGUCAUAGGAUGCCCUUUUAACUGUCUAGGAUGAGCUUAUAUCUCUGAAAUUAAGGCUAAAAGAGGAUCACAAGAUUGGGAUAAUAUUUGAUGAUAUUCUUUGGUUAAUUAUGAUUUAUGAAAAGCAUAUGAAUGUGUAGUAGAUAUGGUGCAUGCGUAACUUUGGUACAGAAUAUGAACAUGUGGAUGAUAAGUUAUGAUUCAUAAUAACCCUUGUGAGAAUUUGAGCCAUGUGCCCUUUCUUUGUUGAGUGAUUAAUGAAAAAAAAAAAAUGAAUUAUACUCUUAUUUUCUUGGCGAUGAUUCUGUUGAUCUCAUUAUUCUUUCAUCUUGAUUGAUUACAUGCCAUAGAUUAAGUUUAAUGGACUAGAGAAUGCUAGAAUUCGCUCUUGUGCUUGUUGAGACGUUUUGUCAAUACAUGGCCCUGAUUCUGGAAAGGAUAGAGGCACCUAGGAACUAACAUCAUUGCCAAAUAAGCAUGUGUCCCUAUUUGUGCCCGUCGUGGGACCCCCUUAGAUAAACCCCUUUGAGCCUACAUUAAGCCUUUUCUUUCAUCACCCUAAAAAUCCUUAACCCCUGAACCUUAGUAUAGUUAUAAUCCUACCCUUUGUUCUAAAAACUUAGUGGAGCUAUCUUUUGAGACUUACUACAUGAUGGUGACAAGGAUUGAGAAGAGGUGAAAAUUCAAGUGUGGGGGUAGACUUGUCCAUGAAAAAAAAAAAAAAAAAAAUGUAUGUAUUGCCGUGAAAAAAAAAAAAAAAAAAAAAAAAAAGAAUGUUUAUGGAUUUUAGUCCCCCAUACUUGGUGAGUUUGGAGAUUGUUUUGAAUUGAAGGCCCACUAUCGAAAAAUUUGGUCUUUGUCCAAUUCACUAGAAUCAAAGGGAGUUUAGAAUGAAGAUGAAGACAUUAAGCCCUUUUAUAAAGCCUCAUGGGUAUGACGUUAUGCCUUGGUGGAUUUCUAGAAGUCUCUCUACAUCAACAUGAGCUCUGCUAGGUUUUUAGGAUACUUUGUUAAAAUUCCUUACCCUUUCAUUUCUUAAAACCUUGAGCCUUAGCCCCAUUACAACCUUUGAGAAGACCUUCUUGAUCCUUAAGAUGGGACAGCCUUUGAUGUGGAGAUGAGUUACAAGAGUUGAACAUAUGACUUGGGUCCAUUCGUGCAAGUAGUUGAUAUCUUUCAUGAGAUCUUUUAAAAAAAUUAUAUUCACAAAGUGCUUUUUGUUUCUUAUAUAUGUGAGCUAUUUGAUUGCCUCAAAAUAUUUUCUCUCACAUAUAAUUGAGUGAUUAUAAGCUUUUAAGCAUGAGCCUUGAAUCUGAGAGAAGAAAGAGUGAUAUAUCCAUGUGAGGUUUGAAUCAUGACUUGUUUGAAAUAUGUUGAGCUCCACUCACCACCAUUGUUUACUCCCAAGUCUUACAUGCUUAUAUGUGGAUUAUAUUUUGUAAUUAGCUCUUGAAUAUCUUGAUGAUGUGAUUCUUGGUUAAGUGCUAAUCUUGGUGACUUGAAAGUAUGAGAUUUCUGAGACAAUAUGUUAAAGGGCAAUAGAGAUCUUUGUGAUGUCAACAUCAUGGUCUUUGUCUUUGAAUUUACUCUUUUAUGUGUGACGUUUUUUUUUUCUUUGUGUUUUGCUUUGUGUUUUACGUUUUUGGUUUCUUUGAGUCUUUGUGUUUUUGUUUCCAUACUUAGUCAUUUUUUUCGUUGGUUUCUUUGUUUUGUGUCAUAGUCUUUUUGGUUUGUUAGUUUUUGAUUUUGCUAAGGGACUAGCAAAAGCUAAGUGUGGGGGAAUUUGAUAGGAGCAUUUUAAUGUGGUAUUUUAAUAGUUAAUUCCUCACAUUUUGCUUAGUUAAUUCCUUAACGAAUCGAUUUUUAACUCAAUUUCUAUUUUCUUAGGUACAUUGGAGUAAAUGAUGGUGAAAUGAGCAUUAGGUCCACACUUACCUAUAAAUGGUGGAGAAAAAUGGAAAUGUACUAAAAUGUCAAUUUUACUCAUUUUCCUACUCCGGCUAGGAGAAACCAAGCCAAGCAAGGAAGAAGGAGCGGCCGCCUGACCAAAUGAACUCCAAAUGAGCUGAAACUUUCCAGAUCCAUUCUAGACAUCCUAAGGAUCGUUUCUUAUGAAGAGUGCCAGAGCUAGAAUUGAGUGGAAGGCCUUCAAACAAUCAGCCCAAUUUCCCGCAGAAGCAAAACUGGAAAACUGGACCCGUAAGGAGUCCAGCAGCAUUUUCGGCCCAACCACAUGGAAUAAAAAUCUGAAAUUUUACCAGGGUGAUCUACACUCAUAAUGGAACAUUUUUUAUGAAGAGGUCAUAGUGAAAUUGGGAAUGCUUGUUGGAGAAAUAAUUGAAGGAAUAAAGGGGCAGAAACUGAUCUAAAAACAGCUCAACACCACAUGUUCAAGUUUCCUACCCACAUGAAGAAAGCUAGAUGCUUUUCUCUUUUUCCUUGGAUAUAUUUUUCUGCUCCAAUAGAUCAUCAUCACUUCCAUACUUCUACACCUUCAUGCCUUGCUUUCAUUUCAUCAUUACUCCAUCUUUUCCAUAUUUUACAAACCACUUUCAUUAUUUUUCUUCCAUUUAUCAUUUCACUCUUCUUUUUCUUCCCUAUAUAAACACCUUCUCCUCUCACUCUAAAAAUUCCUUCAUCCAUUUCAUCUUCUUUGUCUCUCCAUUUCCAUUCCAUUUUUCUCUCCAUUCUCUAGUUGCAAAAUUCUGCGUUUUCAAGUAAGAAGAAGAAGAAGAAGAAGAAGCCGGGAAUAUCAUAUCCUCCAUCGUCCACCUUGAAGGCUUGCUUCCAAGAUUCAAGAUUUCAACGUUUCAAGCACUCCAUCUCCAUCUCCAACUCACGGUGUGUACCCUCAAUCCCCGGAAUAGAACGAUCCCUAUUUGCUUAUACUACUAACGAUGUUUUCAGGGUUAAAUUAUGCGCUUGCUUUGAGCGUAUCAGGAGCC